AAUAUUUCCAUUUCAUUCUGUUGAAGUAUCCAGCAGCAGCAGUACAGCACAAGUCAGCUGUGUAUUGGUUUCUGCUCGACUUUCACCACAGAAACUGUCAUCCAAACGCAAGGAAAAGAAGUGUUCAGUGCAUGGAUUGACUCUCUCUGGAGUUGCUGAAGGACAGACUGAAGGUGCUGCCGAGUCUCUUACUGACGCCGCUGUUUCUCCAACUCCAGCCCCACACAGAUGAUGAAGAUCCUCCGUAUUCACGGCCUGCUCUCCUCUGACUGCCCGACUGAUAAUCCUGCUCUCCGCUGGGGGACAGAUUCAUCCUCCUCUCCACCUACAGGAACAGUAUUCACUGAGAUGCAUAGUAGGGCUGCACAAUACUGAACAUAAACACAUCCAUUUCCCCUAACAUUUGAGCACUGUUAAGGGUUCUUAAACAGCGCUGAUUGGCCAUUUUGUUCACACGCUCAACAGAAAUGACUGCGAUUGGCCGUGAAGGUCAUCAGUUCACCAAACUCACAGCUGUUUAACCACAGUUUCAGGGACACUGGAGCAUUUUGAAGUCUUGUCAGUCAGCUGGUUUGUCUAUAAGCUGACAUAUGAGUGAUCCGCUGAUGAAUCGCAGCUUUAAAACGCUCCAGUGUCCCUGUAUCUGUGUGCAUAAUUUUUUUUACAGGUGUGUGUGUACCUCAUGUGUCUGCAGUGUGAUGAUGUCCAGCUCUAGUCCUCUGUCUGGACAGCUCUUCAGCGCAUGAACCACCUCUGCAUGUUCAGCCCAUCUGCAGUCCACAGAGUUCACAGCCACUAUAUAAUCCCCCUCACGUAGCCCUCCCUCCUAAAACACACACACACACACACACACACACACACACACACACACACACACACUUUGGAUCACAUCCCACACACGACCCGCAUAUUAAAAGCUUUUUUAAAACACUACUCCUAAAUUUGGAUGGGUCGCUGAAAGAUCGCCUCCCGCAUCAAUUAAAUUGCACACAAAAGUAAUUUGGCUUCCCUGUAAAAUUUAAUGAUGAUGAAGAAAUUGUGAAGGCACCUCCAUGCUUUCUUAGGUUAUUAAAGGUGUUUUCUGUCACUGCUUUUUCAGCAACGCAUGUAGUGUAAAGCUGUACAAUUAAUCAUCAAAAUAUGGGGAUCUCAAUUCAAACACCUACGCAACAUAAAUUAUCUCCGUCAUUCUGCGCUGAUCAAGAAAAACUGACGGAAAGAUCCGUUUUUACCCUUUUCAAUAAGUUACAAAAGGUACAAUAACAAAAAAACAGAAGUAGUGUGAGCAGUUUAUAGUUUAGGUAUAAACAGUGAUGUUUACAGUACAGAUUAACAUUUAACGCAACUUGACGCUCAAAACCGAAGUUGUGCCAAUUACAUUGUUUAACCAAUAGAUGGCAAAAACCAGCCAUCUAAAAUGUGUCACUGAAUAAUUCUUCACAAAUGACACAUGUAGUAAUGAUACAGUGCAUGCGGAAAGUCGAUACAGUUGAUAGCGAUUCACUUUCUUCACAUUUGUUUAUGUUACAGCCUUAUUCCAAAAUAGAUUAAAUUCAUUGAUUUCC
Long non-coding RNA from Danio rerio (zebrafish), 1565 nucleotides. NCBI's taxonomy places the organism in Eukaryota, Metazoa, Chordata, Actinopteri, Cypriniformes, Danionidae. The record is from Ensembl.